AAAUUGAAGAGUUUGAUCAUGGCUCAGAUUGAACGCUGGCGGCAGGCCUAACACAUGCAAGUCGAACGGUAACAGGAAGAAGCUUGCUUCUUUGCUGACGAGUGGCGGACGGGUGAGUAAUGUCUGGGAAACUGCCUGAUGGAGGGGGAUAACUACUGGAAACGGUAGCUAAUACCGCAUAACGUCGCAAGACCAAAGAGGGGGACCUUCGGGCCUCUUGCCAUCGGAUGUGCCCAGAUGGGAUUAGCUAGUAGGUGGGGUAACGGCUCACCUAGGCGACGAUCCCUAGCUGGUCUGAGAGGAUGACCAGCCACACUG
This 318-nucleotide ribosomal RNA is filed under the name Escherichia coli. RNAcentral describes it as "bacterial SSU rRNA". It matches the Rfam family "Bacterial small subunit ribosomal RNA", at positions 1 to 315 of the family's 1533-position model. The record is from RNAcentral. Lineage: Bacteria; Pseudomonadati; Pseudomonadota; Gammaproteobacteria; Enterobacterales; Enterobacteriaceae.